AUACGGAGGGUGCAAGCGUUGUUCGGAAUCACUGGGCGUAAAGGGCGCGCAGGCGGUUUGGUAAGUCAGAUGCGAAAGCCCACGGCUCAACCGUGGAAGUGCAUUUGAAACUGCCAGACUUGAGUACCAGAGGGGAAAGUGGAAUUCCCGGUGUAGAGGUGAAAUUCGUAGAUAUCGGGAGGAAUACCGGUGGCGAAGGCGACUUUCUGGCUGGAUACUGACGCUGAGGCGCGAAAGCGUGGGGAGCAAACAGGAUUAGAAACCCCGGUAGUCC
RNAcentral lists this ribosomal RNA (274 nucleotides) under uncultured bacterium. RNAcentral's name for it is "partial 16S ribosomal RNA". It matches the Rfam family "Bacterial small subunit ribosomal RNA", at positions 523 to 796 of the family's 1533-position model. The record is from RNAcentral.